This 8818-nucleotide long non-coding RNA is filed under the name Fragaria vesca (wild strawberry). RNAcentral's name for it is "long non-coding RNA (FVES_LNC002014)". Lineage: Eukaryota; Viridiplantae; Streptophyta; Magnoliopsida; Rosales; Rosaceae. The record is from RNAcentral.
UUUGUAUUAGAUGAGUCAAAAUGAUGAUACACCAUUAAAAGCUUGUUGGUUUCUAUUUCUAACUACAAUCUAAAGAUGAAGAGAUGCCAUAUACAAUGGAACUAUUUGACGUUUCAGUCCAUUACUUUUCUGAAACUCCAAACAUGUACGUACUACCCAACUCAGACAAGCAAAAUACUAUGCGAAACGGAAAUGACAAUGUUGAUGAACAAUUUGUCUGAUCUUUCUAGCUGUAGCUGCCAAACAAUUUGAGAUGUACAAUAGCAUUAUGCCAAACAAUUUGUCUUGCUUCAAUAUUCGGAAUGAAAUAUUAAAAGCUUGUGACAGAUAAAGAUGUUACAUUGAAAGCUUUCUUUCUUUCUUUUUCUUAAAUUGCUCACAUAGACUAGUACAUGUAUUCUUGUAUACAUGUUCUAGCAAUGAUACAUGAACCAUAUAUAUAUAUACACACCAUGAGUACUCACUAGUAUAGUUUCUGAACAUCUGAAAUCUGUCUGUGAGAACAAAAACCGACCUAGCUAGUUUUGUGUCUCAUACUCUUUGAGGAAGUGGUACACAGAAGUUUCUUCACUCUAAAAUCCACAGUUUAUAAUGGCUGUAGCAUUACUUGGACUCCAUGUUGUGGACGAACUGUAAUAAACUGAAAGGGUGAGUGAACAUAACCUGGCGAAAGGGUGAACGAGUAGCGUUGUAGAAUCAUCGACAGUGCAAUCUUAGCUUCAGUGGUUGCAAAGUUCAAGCCCACACACAUUCGAGGUCCAAAGCCAAAGGGCAGGAAGGCACCUGUAUUAUUGUUAGUANNNNNNNNNNNNNNNNNNNNGACCUACUCCUGGUUUCCUUGUGCAUGCUGGAGAUUUCCUGGGUGUUCCCAUGGAUGAGUCUAUAACAAGGGCCUUUGAUUCCUUGAGAAGCCAUAAACUUCUGUAUGCGAGUCGGAAUCCACCAUAGCUUGUAAAUGAUCCUGAUGAGGCCUAAGACAAGAAACACACACAGAAAGCUUGAAAGAAGGAUAACCAUUCCCAUCUUGAUCAGUAUGUUUGUGUAUUGUGAAAGGCUUUUAUGUUCUUAUGGCUCUCUUUUUUUCUUCAACACAAACUCAAUGCCGUUUGCGUUUUGUAGAAGGAUCCAUCAAAACUUUCUUUUUCAAAACUUUUCUGGACACUGCAGUGGCCACACCUAUUAUCAAUCAUCACUAAAAUACAAUGAAACUAUUUGCUUUGGUCACCAAUGACGUCUUUGCACCAAUAUUGCUAGCUUUUGGAUUAAACAUAUUCAAGUUAAAGUAAAACAGAGUCGUGUAUGUUCAUCGUUUUUGUACAUUGUUAGUAUCUCUCUAGAUAAGGUUGGUUCUGCAGUGAUCUCACACAUGGGUGUUCAUGACUGAAGUCAUGGUUACAUCCAAUGUGGUUGCCCAAAACAUAAUAAGCCAAACCAACUUGAUAUUAUCUGCUCCUAAAAACAAAUAUCUUUGUGGUCCAAUAUUAGAGUGACCCUGUAACAGAUGCAGAAGGAAGAAAAGAAAGUAGUGAUCUUCAGAGGUAAUAUAACGAAGAAUGGUGAAGCAUGGAAGAUGACGCUGUAUUGUUCUGGAGCUGGUAGAUUUGACUAAGAAAUGCAGCAGCUUAGAUUUAUUGGGUUUUACCUGAGAGAGUAAACGAAGAGGUUAAAUUUAUUGAAUUUUACCAGAGAGAGGAAACAAAGCUUGGUUCUUUUGUUGCUCAGUUUUAGUGGGUCUUCCAUGUUUUGGGAAAAGCUUUCACCUUUUUCCAAUUGUGAUGUGAGAAAAAGCCAAAAUCAAGGGAUCUAAAGCAUUUUGAGUUUUCACUUGCCCUUUCAAAGAUUUCCUGUUUGCCAUGUUUGAUUCUUGAUACUUUUCUUGAGUGAGAGAUACAUGUUGAGGUUAAAUCUAUAAUGCAAAAUGAAAACAUUAUGACAUAGACUCAUAUGCAACUCUUGGACUACAAAGUUUUCGAAAAAUAAAGUUUAGUCACUCAAUUUACCUUUUGUUAUAAAUAUUAUAAUUUAUGUGGCUGUCCACGUAAUUACUUAUUAGUUAUGUACUCUGAUAUAAACCCUACCUCUAUAUAAAGAGGCUAAUAAUAAUGAAUAAGUAGACUUCUACCUCCUCCUAAUUAUUCUCUCUGUGUCUUCUUUUCUUUUUUCUUUACUUUACAAUACGUUAUCAGCACGACUCUACAUUUGAGUUGAUAACGAACAUUUUUUUUCUCUCCUUAUCUCUAACUCGAUGAUGAUCUGAAAGCCUGGAUACAACUUUGUUGUUUUUUCAUCGACCGGGUACUCUUGAUCUAUGAGUCUCAAUUUCCAUAAAUCAAUUCUCAGUUUUCUUAAUUUUUGUUAGUUCAAUUGCUAAAUAUAAUUGGCAGCAAUUCGAACAUAUGAUCAUCAAUUUUCUUUUUAUUUUUUUUUUACUGUUAACGAUAACAAUUUGGAUGGUGGGUGUUUGAUACCAUACCUAACCGUGUACAUUAUCUUGCAAUUACAUUUAUUGUGUAUAUCUAUUAGGGCUUGAUUCGUUCAUAUCAAAGACCAAAUUGGUUUUCUAUAUUUACGUUUCCCUCAUCAGUCUCUCUGCAAACAUAACUUGUCUUGUUUGUUCUUUGUCAUUAGUUAGUAUGCACACAUAAUAGGAGAUAAUUUCAGUUCGUCUUGCCUAUACGAUCUCACACAUAUGAUUACAAUUCCUUCUUUCAUAAAUAUAUAUUUAUCCUUAUAGUAUGGACGUACAGUUUCAUGUUCCUCUUCUCCAUGAUAGAGAUUUCAGGUAGAAUUUUUCAUGUUUUGACCAAUUUGGAUUCAAUUUGUACAAUGCCUGAUACAAUUUUAUAUUUCUGAAUUGAGAACAAACUCACGUUUACAACUAGUUUGAGUGUUGUGAUCAUAGAUCGAGACCUGAAGUCUCUUGAUUGAACUAUGAAAGGCCUGAAGUUCCUCAAAGAGUAAUAUAAUGAAAUUGCGAUAUGAAAGAUUUUCAAAACUCAUGCAAUUAAGGAGGGCCAAAAGUCUUUUAAAAUCAUAUAUAAUAUGACAGAACCACAUCUUGUGAUUCCUAGUUACAUGAGGGCCCAAAGUUCCUCGCCUUAUAUGAUAUUACAUUCUAAUGUAACUAGAGGAGAUCGGGAAAUCAAGAUUAUCAUAUUUGUAAAGUUAACCAGAUCUGAAGAUCUUAUUAAUUCAUGGAACCAGAAGUUUCAUGUGUACGUACAAUUUAUUUAUCUUUUGCUCUUUACAGUGUUCUUAUUUUGUUAUGCAAUUUCAUUAUUGUACUUAUCGUUUAAAUUUUAUUGUUAUUCAUACAGACCAACAACCUUAUAUCUCGAACGUAUAAAGUUUCACUUGGGUUACUCGAGCCUGAAGUUUCGAGCACUUGAAUUAUUUGAACCCGAAGUUUGACAUACGAAAUCUGAGUACCUAUCAUUCUAACAUUAUAAAUUCGAACCUGAAGCUUCGAUUUCACAUAUGAUUGAUGGCUCCAGAAGUGCAUCCUCUUUGAAUUAAGUGUCUCAAAUGCGGUUCAAAAUUGAUUAAUAUAUGAUAUAUAUAGAUUGUGUCAAUUUUGACAGUGAACUAAGGCACAUAAUAUCAUGAACCAGAAGUUCAUUGAACCAAAUACUUUAUUUGGCAUGACAAGUUAUGUCAUAUUUUACUUAUAGUGCUGCCUGGAAUCAAUAACAAAUUUUGAUAACCACUAGCCCUACUCAUAGCCGAUUGUUUAUUUGUCGCAUAUUUUUUUAGUUGUCACUUUAAUGAGACAAUCUUCCCAUCAUGAGGGGGAGAGAGAUUGUUCCUGAAGAACGAUGUAGAGUGGUGAAAGUUGUUUAUCCACCUUCUCAUUUUGAUUUUGAGAAAUGUCUCAGCUAGUGAUUUGAUAAAAGAUCUUGACAAACGUAUAUGCUAAAAGCAUAUGCAUCAACUUGGAUUAAAGUCUAUGAGAUCAUCGAUAUUAACUCAAAUACUCUAUACCCCAUUUGAUUUGUGGGAUGCACAUGUAUCCAAGUGACAUGGUUCUCCUGAAGAGAAUGUCAUGAUACAAUGUUAGAGUUCGUAAUAUGGCUACACAUACAAAGGUUGUAUGUACGUCAUUAGAGAAUGAUAUCUUGGUUGAUUUUAAUGAAUAUAAUGUUUUUGACCUCAUACUUGGUUUAGGUUCGCCACUAGCCAAUGAACAUCUCACUCGAAAAAAAGUGAUAGAUCUUUAGACGCAAUAUAUGCUCAUGGUCAAAAUAAGACGGUCUUCCCGCCGUUAGGGGGAGAAUAAAACUACUGCUCAUGCUCAUUUGAAUAACGAUGUGAAUUUGAGUGGAAUGUAUCCACUAGGUCUAAAGGUUUAAGCUCCUGAAAAUGGAAGAUUAUACAGGUUUUCUAAUGGUCUAUAUGAUAUUACAAGUAAAAGAUCCACAUUCACUAUAUAAUAUUUGUUCUAUAGGUGACAGUAUUUGCCCCAGAAGUGGCAUGGGUACCCAAUAUAAAAAAUGCAUGCAUAUUAUUGUAAAGUAAAAAAAAAAGAAAGAGAAGACACAGAGAGAAUAAUUGGGAGGAGGUAGAAGUCUAAUCAUUCAUUCUUAUUAGCCUCUUUAUAUAAAUGUAGAGUUUACAUCAGAAUAUAUAACUAAUGAGUAAUUACGUGGACAGCCACAUAGAUUAUAAUAUUUAUAACACUCCCCCUUGGAUGUCCACCAAUGAAUGAUGAAAUUAGACGCGUUUAAUGUUGUCUCGUUAAAAACUUUGCCAGGUAAAAAAAACCAGUGGGAGAAAAAUAACCCUGGUCGAAAGAGAAAAGAGUACAACGCGCAUAUGUUUUAGGUAGCAUAUUUUUGGAUGCUCCCCCUGAUGAGAAUCUCCCCCUGAACGUUGCAAGCUUCAUGUGUAGUAAAUAACGGUUUGAUUUGUCCAUCACUAAAGUGAGACUAUGUGUGUUUUGCAUAUAGGGGCUCAUCAUCUGCAAAGUUAAAACAAUACCAACAAAUCUAAAUGAUAAUAAAUAGGUUUUACCUCAUUGAGUCAUAUGACUAAAUUCAUACACUAAGUAAUAGCUACACAAGAUAAGCAAAUUGACAUUAAAACAUUGAAAUAUCUAGCCAUACACAUUAAUAUCUUUGUGUAGUGAUACGUCUCAUAUAAGCUCUUCAAGAGCUCUGAGUAAUUCAUAACUUCUAAGAGUUAGAAUAUGUAGCAACAUAAUGAUCAUAAUUCGAAUUCGAUUAUGUAGUUCGAUCAUAGUACUCAUUGAGGCAAUUUCGAUCACAUUAUUUAUAACAAAAUGAGUAUAUAGGAGCUAGCUUUAGACUAUUUGAUUUCAUGAAGUAGCUUCAGGCUCUCUCAAGUAUUCAUGGAUCGAAUUACAUUAGAAUCAUUCAUGUAUUUGAAUCCUUUAAGAAUUUGACAAGCGAUACGCUUGUAAUGACACUUUAUUUUUGAGAAUUUGCUUCUAGCAACGUGUCUUUUACGAUCCUCAUAAUAUACAAUGAAAAAUGUCAUAAGUCUCUCGUCAAUAACAAUUAUAUUUAUUAUGUAACACUGUACUUACAGAAAAUUGUCACAUAUAAGGAAAUAUAUUCAUAAUCCCCAUGUCUCUCGUAAACAUUAUGUCAUAGUGAUUUAUUUUCACUAUACUUAAUACCAUUUUGUAUCAUAGGGUUAAAGGUAAAAGUAUCUCAUCACGUUUCAAAUAUUUAGUUUCAUUGGAAUUGCCUCUUUUCAAUUUGGCCAAUAAUAUGCUUUGUCGACAUGCAUAAUGAAACGUGGUAUAUCAUCGAUUAAUAUGUACCAAAGAUCUUGAUCCUUGAAUGAACAUGAGGGAACUAGGUUUACUUCGUCGUGUGACAAAUAUAAGGGCCUGGUCAUGGCAUCCAUGUACGUGUUGGAGUCUUGGAGAUCCCAUUGGUGUUUCCAUUGAUGUGUCUGUAAGGAGGCUCUGUGGUUCCCUGAGUUUCUGAUGCGUCACGGAGCCCACCAUAUAGAAUUUGUGAAGGAUCUUGAAAAUCAGAGCUACAAGAGUUAUAUUUUUAUCAGAAUUGAUUUUGGUCAGAAAAUUUAGAUGGACUCAUAAUAGACAUGGGCCUAUAGUCUGAUCCAACUCAUCCAAGUCACAUCCAAAUACACUUACUUCGUGAUUUACUGGGAAACUGUAGUCUUCAGUCUUCUGACUUUACUUCUAUUACUGACUAAGUGACUGUAGCAUGAUCUUUCUUUUUUUUUUUCUUCUUUUUUUUCCACAGUUUGUAUUAGAUCAUUUAGAUGAGUCAAAAUGAUGAUACACCAUAAAAGUGUGAGGGUUCUUUUUUAUUUGGAAAUAACUAAGCCAAAAUCAACUCAUAGAAUUGAAUUAAUGAGUUAAUCUUGUGUGUGAUUCAAGAUCAGGGAAAGGCUUGUAGCGUGAACUGGCGUGGGAGCUGAAGGCACACCGCGGUGGUGAAAAUUGGACUGAGCUUUUAAGGUUAGAUUUCUGGGAAAGAUUUGGGUUUCAAGGAUAAGGAUUGAAAGAUGGUUGAUGAGGAGUUUUUGGCUUGAAGGUUUGAAGGCAUGAAAGAUUGAGUAUUUUAGGAACUUUUCUGGGCUGGUUGUUCUAUAUCCCUGCAGCUCUCGAACCCCUCUUCUUAUAGAGCUCAAUUGAUGGGUUUUGCAAUGGGUUGCGAUACCUAAUCCAAUGUGUAAAAGGAUUGUUCUUCUUAAACACAUGAUCUUAGCCUCAAAAGCUGGCAGAGAGAGGUUGACUUUGAGAGAUGGGAGAGAUAACUCACUGCAGGGGCGCUGCGAGGGCGGCUGCAGAGACGGAAACCCAGGAACAAGGCAGACCAAGUAGCUUAAAUCCCACGAUUUUGUCAUUCAAGGAUGAAAGAGCCACCUUGAAACCAGUCACUGGCCUUCUUCUUCCUCGGGUUGGGAAUGAAUGGGAUUUUACUGUUGUGCAAAGCUCGUCGUCGUACUGCUGCGGGGAAAAGAUAAAGUGUGGCAUCUGGUUCAAAAAUGAGAACAUAAAAGGGUUGGGCUUUUCCUUAAAAGGAGAGAGUUUAGGCUUUUUCCUAAAAGGAGAGAGUUUGGGCUUUUUCCUAAAAGAAAAUAGGGGGUUGGACUUUGGAUUUAAAUAUAUUUUGGGUUUAAAAGAUGAGUAGUCCAAUUCUCACAUUCUUCACCGAUUCGUCGCCGACUUAAGUCGUCGAGCUUGAGUUUCGGGCCCAAGACCGAAACUUCUUAACAACAUUAAAUCGGCGGACAAACGUUAUGUGCCUCCAUAACCAUCCACACCAUACCCACUUCUACAAGCCCCAAUGCUGCGUGUAUGCGGCUUGGGCCCACAUGAAUAUGCGGGUAUGUUCGCUUGGGUUAAAUCAAGGAUUUAACCUAAGAUUGUAUGAAAUUAUUGCGUGACGAAGUAUUAAUUGAUUGCAUGAUUUUUCGGGUAUGUUGGCUUCUAUUUCUAACUACAAUCUAAAGGUGAAGAGAUGCCAUAUACAAUGGAACUAUUUGACGUUUCAGUCCAUUACUUUUCUGAAACUCCAAACAUGUACUACCCAACUCAGACAAGCAAAAUACUAAGUGAAACGGAAAUGACAAUGUUGAUGAACAAUUUGUCUGAUCUUUCUAGCUGUAGCUGCCAAACAAUUUGAGAUGUACAAUAGCAUUAUGCCAAACAAUUUGUCUUGCUUCAAUAUUCGGAAUGAAAUAUUAAAAGCUUGUGACAGAUAUAGAUGAUUACAUUGAAAGCUUUCUUUCUUUCUUUUUCUUAAAUUGCUCAUGUUGUUUAGUGGCUCAAUUUGUCUAUGUUAAUCUUGUAUUGGAUUAAGGUGUUUUGUAAAAGCCAUCUUAAGGCUUUCUAAGGGUAGUAAUAGGGUUUCUCCCGAUUAAGAGAGAUAUAUAGUUGUUUGUUUUCUGCCGUAAACACCUUUGAGAGCUGCUGUGAUAGCAGAGCUGCUGUAUUUCUUUGUAAACCCUCAUUUGUUAGUGGAUUUCAUUCUCCCUGCUGCUCCGUGGACGUAGGCUAUUGCCGAACCACGUUAAAUCCUUUGUGUUCUCUUUUGUUCUAUGUUCUUGCAUAGAUUUGAUCUGUGGGAUUUUUCCCGCAGUAAUAUCUUGUUCAUCUGUUAGCUGCUGUUAUUUGCCGCUGUUAUUUGGUCUGAGCGCGACAGCUCACAUAGACUAGUACAUGUAUUCUUGUAUACAUGUUCUAGCAAUGAUACAUGAACCAUAUAUAUAUACACCAUGAGUACUCACUAGUAUAGUUUCUGAACAUCUGAAAUCUGUCUGUGAGAACAAAAACCGACCUAGCUAGUUUUGUGUCUCAUACUCUUUAAGGAAGUGGUACACAGAAGUUUCUUCACUCUAAAAUCCACAGUUUAUAAUGGCUGUAGCAUUACUUGGACUCCAUGUUGUGGACGAACUGUAAUAAACUGAAAGGGUGAGUGAACAUAACCUGGCGAAAGGGUGAACGAGUAGCGUUGUAGAAUCAUCGACAGUGCAAUCUUAGCUUCAGUGGUUGCAAAGUUCAAGCCCACACACAUUCGAGGUCCAAAGCCAAAGGGCAGGAAGGCACCUGUAUUAUUGUUAGUAGCUUUGGCAACCCCUUCUGAAAAUCUCUCUGGCUUGAAAAGAUGCGCAUCUGGUCCCCAGAAUUGAGGUUCACGGUGAAGCGAUAGAAUUGAGACAACUAGUUCAAGAUCAGNNNNNNNNNNNNNNNNNNNNNNNNNNNNNNNNNNNNNNNNNNNNNNNNNNNNNNNNNNNNNNNNNNNNNNNNNNNNNNNNNNNNNNNNNNNNNNNNNNNNNNNNNNNNNNNNNNNNNNNNNNNNNNNNNNNNNNNNNNNNN